CGCGUAGGUGGCCUGUGGAAGUCUGUGGUGAAAGUCCGGCGCUCAACGCCGGAUCGGCCGUGGAUACUCUCGGGCUUGAGCUUACUAGAGGCAGAUGGAAUUCCGGGUGUAGCGGUGGAAUGCGUAGAGAUCCGGAAGAACACCGGUGGCGAAGGCGGUCUGCUGGGGUAAUGCUGACACUGAUGCGCGACAGCGCGGGGAGCAAACA
RNAcentral lists this ribosomal RNA (208 nucleotides) under uncultured bacterium. RNAcentral's name for it is "partial 16S ribosomal RNA". It matches the Rfam family "Bacterial small subunit ribosomal RNA", at positions 568 to 774 of the family's 1533-position model. The record is from RNAcentral.